CCCUUAGAUGUCCUGGGCCGCACGCGCGCUACACUGAUGCAUGCAACGAGUUUAUAACCUUGGCCUGAAAGGUCUGGGUAAUCUUUUGAACGUACAUCGUGAUAGGGAUAGAUUAUUGCAAUUGUUAAUCCUGAACGAGGAAUUCCUAGUAAACGCGAGUCAUCAGCUCGCAUUGAUUACGUCCCUGCCCUUUGUACACACCGCCCGUCGCACCUACCGAUUGGAUGGUCCGGUGAAGCCUCGGGAUUGUGGUUCUUGCCGCUUUAUUGUGGCGUGACCGCGAGAACUUGUCUAAACCUUAUCAUCUAGAGGAAGGUGAAGUCGUAACA
RNAcentral lists this ribosomal RNA (329 nucleotides) under uncultured eukaryote. RNAcentral describes it as "partial 18S ribosomal RNA". It matches the Rfam family "Eukaryotic small subunit ribosomal RNA", at positions 1470 to 1796 of the family's 1831-position model. The record is from RNAcentral.